UAGCGGAACUCCUACGGGAGGCAGCAGUGGGGAGUAUUGGACAAUGGGCGAAAGCCUGAUCCAGCCAUGCCGCGUGUGUGAAGAAGGUCUUCGGAUUGUAAAGCACUUUAAGUUGGGAGGAAGGGCAUUAACCUAAUACGUUAGUGUCUUGACGUUACCGACAGAAUAAGCACCGGCUAACUCUGUGCCAGCAGCCGCGGUAAUACAGAGGGUGCAAGCGUUAAUCGGAAUUACUGGGCGUAAAGCGCGCGUAGGUGGUUUGGUAAGUUGAAUGUGAAAUCCCCGGGCUAAACCUGGGAACUGCAUCCAAAACUGGCAAGCUAGAGUAUGGGAGAGGGUAGUGAAAUUUCCUGUGUAGCGGUGAAAUGCGUAGAUAUAGGAAGGAACACCAGUGGCGAAGGCGACUACCUGGACUGAUACUGACACUGAGGUGCGAAAGCGUGGGGAGCAAACAGGAUUAGAAACCCUAGUAGUCCACUUAUG
This 483-nucleotide ribosomal RNA is filed under the name uncultured bacterium. RNAcentral describes it as "bacterial SSU rRNA". It matches the Rfam family "Bacterial small subunit ribosomal RNA", at positions 328 to 803 of the family's 1533-position model. The record is from RNAcentral.